Molecule: ribosomal RNA, 3767 nt
Filed under: Thermoleophilia bacterium
Lineage: Bacteria; Bacillati; Actinomycetota; Thermoleophilia
Description: 23S ribosomal RNA
Rfam family: Bacterial large subunit ribosomal RNA
Source: RNAcentral
GAUCAAGAGAACAAGGGCACACGGUGGAUGCCUUGGCACCAAGAGCCGAUGAAGGACGUGGGCGGCUGCGAUAAGCCCGGGGGAGGAGCUGACCAUCCCUUGAUCCCGGGAUCUCCGAAUGGGGAAACCCACCGCUGGUAAUGCGGCGGUACCCGCACCUGAAUCCAUAGGGUGCGAGGAGGCAAGCUGGGGAACUGAAACAUCUAAGUACCCAGAGGAAAGGAAAGAAACCUCGACUCCCUGAGUAGUGGCGAGCGAAAGGGGACCAGCCCAAACCCGCGCGACGCGAUAGGCGGCAGCCGUUGUCGUGCGGGGGUUGUAGGGCCCGUCUUGAUCCGUCUGCCGGCGGGUCGGGAAGUUACAAAGUCGCGUGUUAGCCGAAGUGGAUGGAAAGCCACGCCACAGAAGGUAACGGCCCUGUAGGCGAAAGCACGCGGCCUUCCUUGACGGGUACCUGAGUACGGCCGGGCACGGGAAACCCGGUCGGAAUCUGCGGGGACCACCCCGUAAGGCUAAGUACUCCUUGGUGACCGAUAGUGAACGAGUACCGUGAGGGAAAGGUGAAAAGUACCCCGGAAGGGGAGUGAAAUAGUACCUGAAACCGUGUGCCUACAAGCGGUCGGAGCGGAGCAAUCCGUGACGGCGUGCCUUUUGCAUAAUGAGCCAGCGAGUUAGUCUUCCACGGCGAGGUUAAGGAAACGGAGCCGUAGCGAAAGCGAGUCUGAACAGGGCGAUUCAGUCGUGGGAGCUAGACCCGAAACUGAGUGAUCUACCCAUGGCCAGGUUGAAGCGGGGGUAAGACCCCGUGGAGGACCGAACCCACGUCGGUUGAAAACGGCGGGGAUGAGCUGUGGGUCGGAGUGAAAGGCUAAUCAAACUCAGAGAUAUCUGGUUCUCCCCGAAAUAUAUUUAGGUAUAGCGUCACGCGUUCAAUAGCGGUUGUAGAGCACUGUUUGGCCUAGGGGGCCUACCAGCUUACCGAAGUCAGGCAAACUCCGAAUGCCGUUAUUCCAGAGCGUGGCAGUCAGAGUACGGGGGAUAAGCUUCGUGCUCGAGAGGGAAACAGCCCAGACCGUCGGCUAAGGUCCCUAAUUCCAUGCUAAGUGGAAAACGAUGUCCGAUUGCAGAGACAACCAGGAUGUUGGCUUAGAAGCAGCCACCAUUCAAAGAGUGCGUAACAGCUCACUGGUCAAGUGGUCGGGCGCGGACAAUGUAACGGGGCUCAAGCAUGGAACCGAAGCCACGGACUUCACGCUUGCGUGGAGUGGUAGGGGAGCGUUCCCAGCGCGGAGAAGCGGCGGCGGCGAGCCAGCCGUGGAGCGCUGGGAAGCGAGAAUGCUGGCAUGAGUAACGAAAGACGAGUGAGAAACUCGUCCGCCGAAUGCCCAAGGGUUCCUGAGUAAAGCUAAUCUGCUCAGGGUUAGUCGGGACCUAAGCCGAGGCCGAAAGGCGUAGGCGAUGGACAACAGGUUGAUAUUCCUGUACCACGUCCCAACCGCUAUCACCGAAGGGGGGACGGGGUAGGCUAGGGCAACCCAGGCGUUGGUCGACCUGGGGUAACCGCGUAGGGCGGCCGGUAGGCAAAUCCGCCGGCCACGAAGCCUGAGACGGGACGCCGAGGCCCCUCGGGGCCGAAGUGCCUGAAGCCACGCCUCCGAGAAAAGCCUCUAGGGAGGUUGGACGUGCCCGUACCAAAACCGACACAGGUGGGCAGGUAGAGAAUACCAAGGCGAUCGGAAGAACCCUCGUCAAGGAACUCGGCAAAAUGGUCCCGUAACUUCGGGAGAAGGGACGCCCCGGUAGAGUGCAGCCCCUCGCGGGCGUAGCUCGAGGGGGCCGCAGUGAAACGGCCCAAGCGACUGUUUACCAAAAACACAGGUCUCUGCGAAGUCGUAAGACGACGUAUAGGGGCUGACUCCUGCCCGGUGCCGGAAGGUCACGAGGAGAGGUUAGCCUUCGGGCGAAGCCUUGAAUCCAAGCCCCGGUAAACGGCGGCGGUAACUAUAACCGUCCUAAGGUAACGAAGCGCGAAGCGGUUCGGAACGCCGCUUCGUGUCGGUCGCUGCCCCCCGUGCCGGCAACGGCACGGUGCGCAUCUGGCUAUAUGCUGGAAAACCCGGUGAAUCCCGCGCUACUCACUGUGACGUCCGACGGGAUGUCUACAGUAGUGACAACGUGACGGGUGCGGAAGACCAGCAGGAAAGGCCGGCCGAGCUCCGCGGCUGGGUGAUCGGUUUUGUAGAAGGAGAAGGAUGCUUCUCCGUCGGCUUCGUUCGGCAGCCUCGGCGUGCCGGGCGUGCUGGCUGCAAGACCGGCUUCCAGGUGUUUCACGAGUUCGCCGUGACGCAGGCGGCCUCCGGGCUUGUCUGCCUCGAGCAACUCCAUCGUUUCUUCGGCGUCGGCGCCGUGGUUGCGAACAGGCGGUACGACAACCAUCGUGACCCCCUGUUCCGCUACGUCGUGCGGCGGCGCAGCGAUCUGCUGGAGAGGGUCAUUCCAUUCUUCCAGCAGCAUCCGCUCAUCGGGCCGAAGCAGCAGGACUUCGAGAAGUUCGUUCGCUGCCUCGAGCUCGUGCAGGCGGGAGCGCACCUCACCGUCGACGGGCUGGUGAGGAUCGCGCGGAUCGCGGAGACGAUGAACCGGAAGAAGCCCAGGCGCCAGCUCGUCGGAAUCCUCAGAGACCAUACGCCAGACAUCCAGGACACUGGAUGAAGAGAUGGUCCCAUCUGCAUGGCGACAUGCAGGGAUUGCAUGACAAGGAGUGCAAUCCGCGCGUGGUUCUACUCGCGUAAGGCUAGAGCGAAAUUCCUUGUCGGGUAAGUUCCGACCUGCACGAAUGGAGUAACGACUUGGGCGCUGUCUCGACGAGGGAUCCGGUGAAAUUGUAGUUUCGGUGAAGAUGCCGAAUACCCGUGGUUGGACGGAAAGACCCCGUGAACCUUUACUACAGCUUGACGUUGGAGUCUGGGGUUCGUUGUCCAGGAUAGGUGGGAGGCUGUGAAGCGGGGACGCCAGUCCUCGUGGAGCCAACCUUGGGAUACCACCCUGCGUGCUCUGGGCUUCUAACCCGCUGCCGUGAUCCGGGGCGGGAACAGCGUCAGGUGGGUAGUUUGACUGGGGCGGUCGCCUCCUAAAACGUAACGGAGGCGCGCAAAGGUUCCCUCAGCACGGUCGGAAAUCGUGCGUAGAGUGCAAAGGCAUAAGGGAGCUUGACUGCGAGACAGACAUGUCGAGCAGGCGCGAAAGCGGGCCUUAGUGAUCCGGCGGUAACUAGUGGACGUGCCGUCGCUCAACGGAUAAAAGGUACUCCGGGGAUAACAGGCUUAUCCUUCCCAAGAGUCCACAUCGACGGAAGGGUUUGGCACCUCGAUGUCGGCUCGUCGCAUCCUGGGGCUGGAGCAGGUCCCAAGGGUUGGGCUGUUCGCCCAUUAAAGCGGUACGCGAGCUGGGUUCAGAACGUCGUGAGACAGUUCGGUCCCUAUCCACCAUGGGCGCUGGAGCUUUGAGAGGAGUCGUCUCUAGUACGAGAGGACCGAGACGAACAGACCUCUGGUGUAUCAGUCGUCGUGCCAACGGCGCCGCUGAUUAGCCACGUCUGGAUGGGAUAACCGCUGAAAGCAUCUAAGCGGGAAGCCCACCUCGAGAUGAGAGCUCCCAUCCCCUCGAGGGAGUAAGGGCGGUCGGAGACUACGACCUCGAUAGGCGGGACGUGUAAGCGCAGCAAUGCGUUCAGCGGACCCGUACUAAUCGCCCGAGGUCUUGAUCUG